Molecule: non-coding RNA, 117 nt
Organism: Acanthosepion pharaonis
Lineage: Eukaryota; Metazoa; Mollusca; Cephalopoda; Sepiida; Sepiidae
Source: the annotation of a GenBank genome assembly
GGUCACAUCACGUUGAAACAUCGGUGCCUCCCGCCCACCCCGUACGAUCACCGAAGUUAAGCAACAUCGAGCCUGGUCAAUACCUAGAUGGGUGACCACUUAAGAAUAUCAGGUGCU